Molecule: ribosomal RNA, 169 nt
Filed under: uncultured bacterium
Lineage: Bacteria
Description: partial 16S ribosomal RNA
Rfam family: Bacterial small subunit ribosomal RNA
Source: RNAcentral
CCUACGGGAGGCAGCAGUAGGGAAUUUUCGGCAAUGGGCGAAAGCCUGACCGAGCAAUGCCGCGUGAACGAAGAAGUAUUUCGGUAUGUAAAGUUCUUUUAUAGGGGAAGAUAAUGACGGUACCCUAUGAAUAAGCUCCGGCUAACUACGUGCCAGCAGCCGCGGUAAU